This 495-nucleotide ribosomal RNA is filed under the name uncultured bacterium. RNAcentral describes it as "partial 16S ribosomal RNA". It matches the Rfam family "Bacterial small subunit ribosomal RNA", at positions 28 to 507 of the family's 1533-position model. The record is from RNAcentral.
GACGAACGCUGGCGGCGUGCCUAAUACAUGCAAGUAGAACGCUGAAGGAGGAGCUUGCUUCUCUGGAUGAGUUGCGAACGGGUGAGUAACGCGUAGGUAACCCGCCUGGUAGCGGGGGAUAACUAUUGGAAACGGUAGCUAAUACCGCAUAAUAGUAGAUGUUGCAUGACAUUUGCUUAAAAGGUGCAAUUGCAUCACUACCAGAUGGACCUGCGUUGUAUUAGCUAGUUGGUGGGGUAACGGCUCACCAAGGCGACGAUACAUAGCCGACCUGAGAGGGUGAUCGGCCACACUGGGACUGAGACACGGCCCAGACUCCUACGGGAGGCAGCAGUAGGGAAUCUUCGGCAAUGGACGGAAGUCUGACCGAGCAACGCCGCGUGAGGGAAGAAGGUUUUCGGAUCGUAAAGCUCUGUUGUAAGAGAAGAACGAGUGUGAGGGUGGAAAGUUCACACUGUGACGGUAUCUUAACAGAAAGGGACGGCUAACUACGUG